GCCUGGGUGGCUCAGCCAGUUGAGCGUCUGACUUCAGCUCGGGUCAUGGUCUCACGGUCUGCGAGUUCAAGCCCCGCAUCAGGCU
Transfer RNA from Felis catus (domestic cat), 85 nucleotides. It matches the Rfam family "tRNA". Rfam says of the family: Transfer RNA (tRNA) molecules are approximately 80 nucleotides in length. Their secondary structure includes four short double-helical elements and three loops (D, anti-codon, and T loops). Further hydrogen bonds mediate the characteristic L-shaped molecular structure. tRNAs have two regions of fundamental functional importance: the anti-codon, which is responsible for specific mRNA codon recognition, and the 3' end, to which the tRNAs corresponding amino acid is attached (by aminoacyl-tRNA synthetases). tRNAs cope with the degeneracy of the genetic code in two manners: having more than one tRNA (with a specific anti-codon) for a particular amino acid; and 'wobble' base-pairing, i.e. permitting non-standard base-pairing at the 3rd anti-codon position. The record is from Rfam. Lineage: Eukaryota; Metazoa; Chordata; Mammalia; Carnivora; Felidae.